RNAcentral lists this ribosomal RNA (253 nucleotides) under uncultured bacterium. RNAcentral describes it as "partial 16S ribosomal RNA". It matches the Rfam family "Bacterial small subunit ribosomal RNA", at positions 524 to 776 of the family's 1533-position model. The record is from RNAcentral.
CACGUAGGGCGCAAGCGUUGUCCGGAAUUAUUGGGCGUAAAGGGCUCGUAGGCGGUUUGUCGCGUCGGGAGUGAAAACCCAGGGCUUAACUCUGGGCUUGCUUUCGAUACGGGCAGACUAGAGGUAUGCAGGGGAGAACGGAAUUCCUGGUGUAGCGGUGAAAUGCGCAGAUAUCAGGAGGAACACCGGUGGCGAAGGCGGGUCUCUGGGCCGAUACUGACGCUGAGGAGCGAAAGCGUGGGGAGCGAACAGG